GAUUUAUAAGAAACCCUUAGCUGAAUGCAGGGUGGGGAGAACGAAAGACAAAAGCAUCUUUUUUCAGAAGGGAAACUGAAAGAAAGAGGGGAAGAGUAUUAAAGACCAUUUCUGGCUGGGCAGGGCACUCUCAGCAGCUCAACUGCCCAGCGUGACCAGUGGCCACCUCUGCAGUGUCUUCCACAACCUGGUCUUGACUCGUCUGCUGAACAAAUCCUCUGACCUCAGGCCGGCUGUGAACGUAGUUCCUGAGAGAUAGCAAACAUGCCCAACAGUGAGCCCGCAUCUCUGCUGGAGCUGUUCAACAGCAUCGCCACACAAGGGGAGCUCGUAAGGUCCCUCAAAGCGGGAAAUGCGUCAAAGGAUGAAAUUGAUUCUGCAGUAAAGAUGUUGGUGUCAUUAAAAAUGAGCUACAAAGCUGCCGCGGGGGAGGAUUACAAGGCUGACUGUCCUCCAGGGAACCCAGCACCUACCAGUAAUCAUGGCCCAGAUGCCACAGAAGCUGAAGAGGAUUUUGUGGACCCAUGGACAGUACAGACAAGCAGUGCAAAAGGCAUAGACUACGAUAAGCUCAUUGGUACG
Molecule: long non-coding RNA, 582 nt
Filed under: Homo sapiens (human)
Lineage: Eukaryota; Metazoa; Chordata; Mammalia; Primates; Hominidae
Description: non-protein coding lnc-SLC25A29-5:2
Source: RNAcentral